This 493-nucleotide ribosomal RNA is filed under the name uncultured bacterium. RNAcentral's name for it is "partial 16S ribosomal RNA". It matches the Rfam family "Bacterial small subunit ribosomal RNA", at positions 355 to 861 of the family's 1533-position model. The record is from RNAcentral.
UGGGGAAUAUUGCACAAUGGGCGAAAGCCUGAUGCAGCAACGCCGCGUGAGUGAUGAAGGCCUUCGGGUUGUAAAGCUCUGUCUUUUGGGACGAUAAUGACGGUACCAAAGGAGGAAGCCACGGCUAACUACGUGCCAGCAGCCGCGGUAAUACGUAGGUGGCAAGCGUUGUCCGGAUUUACUGGGCGUAAAGGAUGCGUAGGCGGAUUUUUUAAGUGAGAUGUGAAAUACCCGGGCUUAACUUGGGUGCUGCAUUUCAAACUGGGAAUCUAGAGUGCGGGAGAGGAGAAUGGAAUUCCUAGUGUAGCGGUGAAAUGCGUAGAGAUUAGGAAGAACACCAGUGGCGAAGGCGAUUCUCUGGACCGUAACUGACGCUGAGGCAUGAAAGCGUGGGUAGCAAACAGGAUUAGAUACCCCUGGUAGUCCACGCCGUAAACGAUGAGUACUAGGUGUAGGAGGUAUCGACCCCCUUCUGUGCCGCAGUUAACACAAU